Molecule: ribosomal RNA, 327 nt
Filed under: uncultured eukaryote
Lineage: Eukaryota
Description: partial 18S ribosomal RNA
Rfam family: Eukaryotic small subunit ribosomal RNA
Source: RNAcentral
CCCUUAGAUGUUCUGGGCCGCACGCGCGCUACACUGACGGAUUCAACGAGCUUACAACCUUGGCCGAAAGGUCUGGGUAAUCUCCAAAAUCCGUCGUGAUGGGGAUAGAUUAUUGCAAUUAUUAAUCUUCAACGAGGAAUGCCUAGUAAGCGCAGGUCAUCAGCUUGCGUUGAUUACGUCCCUGCCCUUUGUACACACCGCCCGUCGCUCCUACCGAUUGAAUGGUCCGGUGAAGCGUUUGGACUAUGGUUUUCUGAUGGUCCGCCGUUGGAUUACCGUGGGAAGUUCGUUAAACCUUAUCAUUUAGAGGAAGGAGAAGUCGUAACA